UCAACCAGGGAACUGCAUCCAAAACUGGCAAGCUAGAGUACGGUAGAGGGUGGGGGAAUUUCCUGUGUAGCGGUGAAAUGCGUAGAUAUAGGAAGGAACACCAGUGGCGAAGGCGACCACCUGGACUGAUACUGACACUGAGGUGCGAAAGCGUGGGGAGCA
Molecule: ribosomal RNA, 162 nt
Filed under: Pseudomonas putida
Lineage: Bacteria; Pseudomonadati; Pseudomonadota; Gammaproteobacteria; Pseudomonadales; Pseudomonadaceae
Description: partial 16S ribosomal RNA
Rfam family: Bacterial small subunit ribosomal RNA
Source: RNAcentral